GAUCCGUUGGUGAACCAGCGGAGGGAUCAUUACCGAGUGCAAACUCAUAACCCUUUGUGAACCUAUAUCUGUUGCUUCGGCGGCUCGCUCUCGGGCGAGCCCGCCGGUAAUAUCAGUAUCUCUGUUUGAACCCGACGAUACUUCUGAGUGUUCUUAGCGAACAGUUAAAACUUUUAACAACGGAUCUCUUGGCUCUA
Molecule: unclassified non-coding RNA, 197 nt
Filed under: plant metagenome
Description: partial contains small subunit ribosomal RNA, internal transcribed spacer 1, and 5.8S ribosomal RNA
Source: RNAcentral